This 74-nucleotide transfer RNA is filed under the name Pseudomonadota bacterium. RNAcentral describes it as "Proteobacteria bacterium (sediment metagenome) tRNA-Gln". It matches the Rfam family "tRNA". From Rfam's summary of the family: Transfer RNA (tRNA) molecules are approximately 80 nucleotides in length. The record is from RNAcentral. Lineage: Bacteria; Pseudomonadati; Pseudomonadota. RNAcentral also lists the same sequence under 1 other name.
UGGGGGAUCGUCCAAUGGCAGGACACCAGACUCUGGAUCUGGCUAUCUAGGUUCGAAUCCUGGUCCCCCAGCCA